Triticum aestivum (bread wheat) is the source of this 1001-nucleotide long non-coding RNA. RefSeq lists it as uncharacterized. The transcript has 3 exons. NCBI's taxonomy places the organism in Eukaryota, Viridiplantae, Streptophyta, Magnoliopsida, Poales, Poaceae. The record is from RefSeq and is a predicted model, not a curated record.
GCUUGCUUGGUCUGCCCUUUUUCUUUUGAAAUGGAACUUAAGUUGGAGUGUUGGACAUAAAAGUAAUACUCAUGCUCCGCCAUCCUCGUCCGUUGAUGCUACCGCGGCUACAACACACACUUUGCCUCCCUCGUCGCCGACCGCCAGUGGCGGAGUCAGUACCCGGCGACCCGGGGCAGCUGCCCGGGCUCACCGGCAAGCUGACGUCUAAUCGAAGCUGGGUUACCGUGAUCUGCCCGGGCAAAUAGUCCGUAGGCCUUGCUUGGUGGCUAAUUAGCUGGGUCUACUUUUAAGCCCAUCUAGUAAACUUCCUAAUCCUAGGCCCAAAAGGCUGCACGUCUCAAGGCCUCAGUAGCUGGCAGCGCAACAAGUCGCUAGGCAAACCACGUCUCCACGGUUCAUGGUCGUCGCCUCCACCUAGAUCUAUUGCGACGGCUCGAGCCGCCCCGCAGUAGCAGUUUUGCAGAGGCAAUCGUCGCGAACUGGCGCAGCGCCUCCCAGCAAAGGAGGCAAGCCGGCAGCCAACGGUGCCUCCUACCAACCAUUCCUGCUCAGAGAUUGAUGCUUCGAUUUUCCAGUAACGUAGGCGAUUGGGAAUUCCAUCAUUGAUCGUUCCAAGCAGGCUCAUUGAAGAAAAAUCCAUCUCUCCGCUUUGCUAGGAAGCAAUAUUUGUUGCACAAUGUCAUGAGCAACAGUGCAGUGGUGACCUUCGCUUCACCAAGGGCUUCUCUGCAGCUAUCGAGGGUUAGUGUGUAGACGGAGACGCCGACAACGAGAUGGCUGAUAGGGGUGGCGCCGGCAAUGGCGAGGACGUCGACCGACAACAACAGCAUCCCCCUCUCCCAUCAGCAGCUAUGCCACAAUGCUACUCGAGUACUAAAACAAUAUUGGACAAUAUUGAUACAAUCAGGAAUCAGCUAACAUGAAUAUGUGCAUAUGCGUCGGUGCUACUACUGAAGCAGGCAAUGAAACUAAAGGGUGCAUGUUUUGUUCUUUUUCUA